GACGAACGCUGGCGGCGUGCUUAACACAUGCAAGUCGAACGGUGAAAGCGGAGCUUGCUCCGCUGGAUCAGUGGCGAACGGGUGAGUAACACGUGGGCAACCUGCCCCUCACUUCGGGAUAACUCCGGGAAACCGGGGCUAAUACCAGAUAUGACCUCCUUGGGCAUCCUUGGAGGUGGAAAGUUUUUCGGUGAGGGAUGGGCCCGCGGCCUAUCAGCUUGUUGGUGAGGUAGUGGCUCACCAAGGCGACGACGGGUAGCCGGCCUGAGAGGGAGAGCGGCCACACUGGGACUGAGACACGGCCCAGACUCCUACGGGAGGCAGCAGUGGGGAAUAUUGCACAAUGGGCGCAAGCCUGAUGCAGCGACGCCGCGUGAGGGAUGAAGGUCUUCGGAUUGUAAACCUCUUUCAGUAGGGACGAAGCGAAAGUGACGGUACCUAAAGAAGAAGCACCGGCUAACUACGUGCCAGCCGCCGCGGUAA
RNAcentral lists this ribosomal RNA (483 nucleotides) under uncultured bacterium. RNAcentral's name for it is "partial 16S ribosomal RNA". It matches the Rfam family "Bacterial small subunit ribosomal RNA", at positions 28 to 523 of the family's 1533-position model. The record is from RNAcentral.